ACUCAAAGGAAUAGACGGGGGCCCGCACAAGCGGUGGAUUAUGUGGAUUAAUUCGAUGCAACGCGAAAAACCUUACCUACCCUUGACAUGUGCGGAACCUGGGGGAGACCCUGGGGUGCCCGAAAGGGAACCGCAACACAGGUGCUGCAUGGCUGUCGUCAGCUCGUGUCGUGAGAUGUUGGGUUAAGUCCCGCAACGAGCGCAACCCUUGCCAGUAAUUGCCAUCAUUGGGUUGGGCACUUUACUGGGACUGCCGGUGACAAACCGGAGGAAGGUGGGGAUGACGUCAAGUCCUCAUGGCCCUUAUGGGUAGGGCUUCACACGUAAUACAAUGGCGCGUACAGAGGGUUGCCAACCGGCGACGGGGAGCCAAUCCCAGAAAGCGCGUCGUAGUCCGGAUUGCAGUCUGCAACUCGACUGCAUGAAGUCGGAAUCGCUAGUAAUCGCGGAUCAGCAUGUCGCGGUGAAUACGUUCCCGGGCCUUGUACACACCGCCCGU
RNAcentral lists this ribosomal RNA (499 nucleotides) under uncultured bacterium. RNAcentral's name for it is "partial 16S ribosomal RNA". It matches the Rfam family "Bacterial small subunit ribosomal RNA", at positions 899 to 1397 of the family's 1533-position model. The record is from RNAcentral.